RNAcentral lists this long non-coding RNA (344 nucleotides) under Brassica napus (rape). RNAcentral describes it as "long non-coding RNA (BNAP_LNC022122)". Lineage: Eukaryota; Viridiplantae; Streptophyta; Magnoliopsida; Brassicales; Brassicaceae. The record is from RNAcentral.
GAGGGGAUUAUUUUUGGAAAUUAAUUACAUCCCUCAACAAGGUAUGUCAAGUAAACUGAACUUGGUUCACAUGAUAGAGAAGAGAUCGAUAAAUCAACUUGGAUGAAAAAGGAAAGAAGUUGACAUAAAUAGGAAAAAACUAGCUCGAAGAUGAUAUAUAUUUGAUAAUCUCAAAAGUCGGCACAAGAAUUAGAGUUUACAUAGUUUCAGUAAAGCUCCUUCCGUUAUCAUGAACCUCGUGUUUACUUGUUUCGUACGUUCUCGUCUCUCUUCAAUGUUCAACCAGUUCUCCGGAUUAACCGAGUCUAAAGACCUUUCCACCUAAACAUCCAUAAAACGCUCUC